GACGAACGCUGGCGGCGUGCUUAACACAUGCAAGUCGAACGCUGAAGCUUGGUGCUUGCACUGGGUGGAUGAGUGGCGAACGGGUGAGUAAUACGUGAGUAACCUGCCCUUGACUCUGGGAUAAGCCUGGGAAACUGGGUCUAAUACUGGAUACGACAUGUCACCGCAUGGUGGUGUGUGGAAAGGGUUUUACUGGUUUUGGAUGGGCUCACGGCCUAUCAGCUUGUUGGUGGGGUAAUGGCUCACCAAGGCGACGACGGGUAGCCGGCCUGAGAGGGUGACCGGCCACACUGGGACUGAGACACGGCCCAGACUCCUACGGGAGGCAGCAGUGGGGAAUAUUGCACAAUGGGCGGAAGCCUGAUGCAGCGACGCCGCGUGAGGGAUGACGGCUUUCGGGUUGUAAACCUCUUUCAGCACGGAAGAAGCGAAAGUGACGGUACGUGCAGAAGAAGCGCCGGCUAACUACGUG
Molecule: ribosomal RNA, 472 nt
Filed under: uncultured bacterium
Lineage: Bacteria
Description: partial 16S ribosomal RNA
Rfam family: Bacterial small subunit ribosomal RNA
Source: RNAcentral